This 2775-nucleotide ribosomal RNA is filed under the name Vibrio parahaemolyticus. RNAcentral's name for it is "partial 23S ribosomal RNA". It matches the Rfam family "Bacterial large subunit ribosomal RNA". The record is from RNAcentral. Lineage: Bacteria; Pseudomonadati; Pseudomonadota; Gammaproteobacteria; Vibrionales; Vibrionaceae.
GAAUGGGGAAACCCACGUGCAUAAGCACGUAUCCUUACCUGAAUACAUAGGGUAAGGAGGCGAACCGGGGGAACUGAAACAUCUAAGUACCCCGAGGAAAAGAAAUCAACCGAGAUUCCGAAAGUAGCGGCGAGCGAAAUUGGACUAGCCCUUAAGCUUUACACGCGUUAGACGAACGGUCUGGAAAGUCCGACGAUACAGGGUGAUAGUCCCGUAGUUGACGACGUGUGUUCAGUGAAAUCGAGUAGGGCGGGACACGUGAUAUCCUGUCUGAAUAUGGGGGGACCAUCCUCCAAGGCUAAAUACUACUGACUGACCGAUAGUGAACCAGUACCGUGAGGGAAAGGCGAAAAGAACCCCUGUGAGGGGAGUGAAAUAGAACCUGAAACCGUGUACGUACAAGCAGUAGGAGCAGGCUUUGUCCUGUGACUGCGUACCUUUUGUAUAAUGGGUCAGCGACUUAUAUUCAGUGGCAAGGUUAACCAUCUAGGGGAGCCGUAGGGAAACCGAGUCUUAACUGGGCGUUCAGUCUCUGGAUAUAGACCCGAAACCAGGUGAUCUAGCCAUGGGCAGGUUGAAGGUUGAGUAACAUCAACUGGAGGACCGAACCGACUAAUGUUGAAAAAUUAGCGGAUGACUUGUGGCUAGGGGUGAAAGGCCAAUCAAACCUGGAGAUAGCUGGUUCUCCCCGAAAGCUAUUUAGGUAGCGCCUCGGACGAAUACUACUGGGGGUAGAGCACUGUUAAGGCUAGGGGGUCAUCCCGACUUACCAACCCUUUGCAAACUCCGAAUACCAGUAAGUACUAUCCGGGAGACACACGGCGGGUGCUAACGUCCGUCGUGGAGAGGGAAACAACCCAGACCGCCAGCUAAGGUCCCAAAUUACUACUAAGUGGGAAACGAUGUGGGAAGGCUCAGACAGCCAGGAUGUUGGCUUAGAAGCAGCCAUCAUUUAAAGAAAGCGUAAUAGCUCACUGGUCGAGUCGGCCUGCGCGGAAGAUGUAACGGGGCUAAGUAGUAAACCGAAGCUGCGGCAAUGUGCUUUUGCACAUUGGGUAGGGGAGCGUUCUGUAAGCGGUUGAAGGUGUGUGGUAACGCAUGCUGGACGUAUCAGAAGUGCGAAUGCUGACAUGAGUAACGAUAAAGGGGGUGAAAAACCUCCUCGCCGGAAGACCAAGGGUUCCUGUCCAACGUUAAUCGGGGCAGGGUAAGUCGACCCCUAAGGCGAGGCCGAAAGGCGUAGUCGAUGGGAAACGGGUUAAUAUUCCCGUACUUCUUACAAUUGCGAUGGGGGGACGGAGAAGGCUAGGUGGGCCUGGCGACGGUUGUCCAGGUUCAAGUGCGUAGGCUUAAGAGUUAGGUAAAUCCGGCUCUUUUUAAGGCUGAGACACGACGUCGAGCACCUACGGGUGUGAAGUCAUUGAUGCCAUGCUUCCAGGAAAAGCCUCUAAGCUUCAGAUUGUAAGGAAUCGUACCCCAAACCGACACAGGUGGUCGGGUAGAGAAUACCAAGGCGCUUGAGAGAACUCGGGUGAAGGAACUAGGCAAAAUGGUACCGUAACUUCGGGAGAAGGUACGCUCUUGAUGGUGAAGUCCCUUGCGGAUGGAGCUGACGAGAGUCGCAGAUACCAGGUGGCUGCAACUGUUUAUUAAAAACACAGCACUGUGCAAAAUCGUAAGAUGACGUAUACGGUGUGACGCCUGCCCGGUGCCGGAAGGUUAAUUGAUGGGGUUAGACUUCGGUCGAAGCUCUUGAUCGAAGCCCCGGUAAACGGCGGCCGUAACUAUAACGGUCCUAAGGUAGCGAAAUUCCUUGUCGGGUAAGUUCCGACCUGCACGAAUGGCGUAAUGAUGGCCACGCUGUCUCCACCCGAGACUCAGUGAAAUUGAAAUCGCUGUGAAGAUGCAGUGUACCCGCGGCUAGACGGAAAGACCCCGUGAACCUUUACUACAGCUUGGCACUGAACAUUGACCCUACAUGUGUAGGAUAGGUGGGAGGCUUUGAAGCACGUACGCCAGUAUGUGUGGAGCCGUCCUUGAAAUACCACCCUUGUAGUGUUGAUGUUCUAACGUCGACCCCUAAUCGGGGUUGCGGACAGUGCCUGGUGGGUAGUUUGACUGGGGCGGUCUCCUCCCAAAGAGUAACGGAGGAGCACGAAGGUGGGCUAAUCACGGUUGGACAUCGUGAGGUUAGUGCAAUGGCAUAAGCCCGCUUGACUGCGAGAAUGACAAUUCGAGCAGGUGCGAAAGCAGGUCAUAGUGAUCCGGUGGUUCUGAAUGGAAGGGCCAUCGCUCAACGGAUAAAAGGUACUCCGGGGAUAACAGGCUGAUACCGCCCAAGAGUUCAUAUCGACGGCGGUGUUUGGCACCUCGAUGUCGGCUCAUCACAUCCUGGGGCUGAAGUCGGUCCCAAGGGUAUGGCUGUUCGCCAUUUAAAGUGGUACGCGAGCUGGGUUUAGAACGUCGUGAGACAGUUCGGUCCCUAUCUGCCGUGGGCGUUGGAAGAUUGAAGGGGGCUGCUCCUAGUACGAGAGGACCGGAGUGGACGAACCUCUGGUGUUCGGGUUGUGUCGCCAGACGCAUUGCCCGGUAGCUAAGUUCGGAAUCGAUAACCGCUGAAAGCAUCUAAGCGGGAAGCGAGCCCUGAGAUGAGUCUUCCCUGAUACUUUAAGUAUCCUAAAGGGUUGUCGGAGACUACGACGUUGAUAGGUCAGGUGUGUAAGUGCUGUGAGGCAUUGAGCUAACUGAUACUAAUUGCCCGUGAGGCUUAACCAU